This 430-nucleotide ribosomal RNA is filed under the name Phaenocarpa sp. UKM 2104. RNAcentral describes it as "partial 16S ribosomal RNA". Lineage: Eukaryota; Metazoa; Arthropoda; Insecta; Hymenoptera; Braconidae. The record is from RNAcentral.
GUCUUAAAGAANUUAAUUUUAAGUCAAAUCUGCCCAAGGAUUUAUAUAUUAAAUGGCUGCAAAAUUUUAAUGUACUAAGGUAGCAUACAUAAAUUGUUUUUUAAUUAAAAACUAGAAUGAAAGAUUAAAUAAAAUAUAAACUUUCUGAAUUAAAAAAUUAAAAUUUUUAUUUAAGUAAAAAAACUUAAAUAAAUUUAAAAGACGACAAGCCCCUAUACAAUUUUAUUAAUAAAUAAAUUUAAAUAAAUUUAUAAUAAUUAAAUUUAAUACCUUAAUUUACUUGGGGUAAUUAAAAAAUAAAAAUUUUUUUAAUUCAAACAAAAAUAUUUGAAUAUAAAAACUCUAUGUAAUUUUAAAAAUUAAAAAAUUAUUUACUUUAGGGAUAACAGCAUAAUUUUUUUUACAAGAUCUUAUUNAUACCNAAGAUUAU